This 468-nucleotide ribosomal RNA is filed under the name uncultured bacterium. Its description in RNAcentral is "partial 16S ribosomal RNA". It matches the Rfam family "Bacterial small subunit ribosomal RNA", at positions 28 to 507 of the family's 1533-position model. The record is from RNAcentral.
GACGAACGCUGGCGGCGUGCUUAACACAUGCAAGUCGAACGGAAAGGCCCUGCUUUUGUGGGGUUCUCGAUUGGCGAACGGGUGAGUAACACGUGAGUAACCUGCCCUUGACUUUGGGAUAACUUCAGGAAACUGGGGCUAUUACCGGAUAGGAGCUCCUGAUGCAUGGGGGGGGUUGGAAAGUUUCGGCGGUUGGGGAUGGACUCGCGGCUUAUGAGCUUGUUGGUGGGGUAGUGGCUUACCACGGCUUUGACGGGUAGCCGGCCUGGGAGGGUUACCGGCCACAUUGGGACUGAGAUACGGCCCAGACUCCUACGGGAGGCAGCAGUGGGGAAUAUUGCACAACGGGCGGAAGCCUGAUGCAGCAACGCCGCGUGCGGGAUGACGGCCUUCGGGUUGUAAACCGCUUUCGCCUGUGACGAAGCGUGAGUGACGGUAAUGGGUAAAGAAGCACCGGCUAACUACGUG